Cavia porcellus (domestic guinea pig) is the source of this 640-nucleotide long non-coding RNA. RefSeq lists it as uncharacterized. The transcript has 3 exons. Lineage: Eukaryota; Metazoa; Chordata; Mammalia; Rodentia; Caviidae. The record is from RefSeq and is a predicted model, not a curated record.
CUCUCUAAGCUUGGGAAGUUUCUUGUAAACAGAUUUUUGAGCUGCUUUGGUAGGUCAUCAACCCCAGCCAUCCCCUCCUGUUUAUUUAUUUGAAGGUGUUUUGCAAAAUUAUUGGGAUUGUCAUCUUUUCCACGGCCAAAAUGUAAUGCCAGCUGUUUGAAGACGGGAACUUGCUGUCAUCCGCAUUGUUCCAGUAGGUGUUCCAGAAACUUCCUGAAUGGGGUUCACCAAGUUGGGACUAUUUUUAGUGGGAGGUAAAAAGGUCUUCUGGGAAGUUCAGAGCUUCUGUAAAUGAUAGAUAAAGAGUGGAAAGGGAAGCAGAGCGACCUGGAACACCUAGUUUGUGUUCGGAUCUGUGACACUGGAGACUGCACAGUAAUGUAUAAACAAAACCAAAAGGGGAAAUUAUUUUUGUCAGCUAGAAAAUUUUAUUUUUAAAGUAGUCACAGUUACAGGAAAUAUUACAGAUUAUGUGGCACCGUACGGCCUUUAUUUAUCUGCUUUUUCAUUGCCACAGAGUACACGUUAACCUUGAGAGUACCUUUUAAAAAAAAUCCCAGAAAACUGAGUCCUUGAUUUCCUAUUUACUUUCAAUAAUAAUUCAGGUUUUGUGUCAAAAUACUAAUAAAUAUUGCCAAAA